Molecule: unclassified non-coding RNA, 279 nt
Filed under: plant metagenome
Description: partial contains small subunit ribosomal RNA, internal transcribed spacer 1, and 5.8S ribosomal RNA
Source: RNAcentral
GUUCCGUAGGUGAACCUGCGGAAGGAUCAUUACUGAGUUUUGAAUGAAGAUGAUCUUGUGUAUCUGUACAAGUGACCGCUACGCUCAAGCCUUCUUACACCUCCGCACCUAUCGCGCAACACUUGGUCCCAAGAUAGGCCACGAAGCGGAUCUACAGACUCUUCUUGAUAACAAAUAACAGUUUUAGAAAGUCUUAUUUGCUUUAUUCACACUUAAGUAAAUACAACUUUCAACAACGGAUCUAUUUCCUCACGUAUCGAUGAAGGAUGCAGCAGGUCU